GCUAAAUGCGGAAGAGAUAAGUGCUGAAAGCAUCUAAGCACGAAACUUGCCCCGAGAUGAGUUCUCCCUGACUCCUUGAGAGUCCUGAAGGAACGUUGAAGACGACGACGUUGAUAGGCCGGGUGUGUAAGCGCAGCGAUGCGUUGAGCUAACCGGUACUAAUGAACCGUGAGGCUUAACCUUACAACGCCGAAGGUGUUU
Molecule: ribosomal RNA, 201 nt
Filed under: Escherichia coli
Lineage: Bacteria; Pseudomonadati; Pseudomonadota; Gammaproteobacteria; Enterobacterales; Enterobacteriaceae
Description: partial 23S ribosomal RNA
Rfam family: Bacterial large subunit ribosomal RNA
Source: RNAcentral